This is a non-coding RNA of Chrysemys picta bellii (western painted turtle), 423 nucleotides long. The record is from the annotation of a RefSeq genome assembly. Lineage: Eukaryota; Metazoa; Chordata; Testudines; Emydidae.
AUGAGACUUUGGCUCCACUUACUUUUCAUUGUAGCGGCUUUGUCAGGGGCCCGUUCACAGGUUGUUCUGACCCAGUCCGGUCCCGAAGUGAAGAAGCCCGGAGAAUCCACCCAGCUGAAAUGCGCCGUGAGCGGGUUUGUCCCUAACGACCGGUGGAUGGAUUGGGUCAGACAGCUGCCGGGAAAGGGACUGGAGUGGCUGGUCCACUAUCGCCAAUCUUCAGUCACGAAUUACUACUCCCCCUCCAUCCAGGGGCGAUUCACAGCCUCCAAGGACAGCUCCAACUUCUACCUGCAAAUGACCAGCCUGAAAGCGGAGGACACCGCCGUGUAUUACUGUGCCAGAGACACAGUGAGGGGAAGUGAAUCUGAGCUCAGACAAAAACCUUCCCCUGCACUAACAGCGCAACGUGUCCACUGCUGA